Molecule: non-coding RNA, 92 nt
Organism: Suillus lakei
Lineage: Eukaryota; Fungi; Basidiomycota; Agaricomycetes; Boletales; Suillaceae
Source: the annotation of a GenBank genome assembly
GUCACUUUGCCGGAGUGGUUAACGGGAUCGCCUGCUAUACACAGCUAAGCGGUUGGGCUUUGCCCGCGAGUGUUCGAAUCGCUCAGGUGACG